Molecule: ribosomal RNA, 543 nt
Filed under: uncultured bacterium
Lineage: Bacteria
Description: bacterial SSU rRNA
Rfam family: Bacterial small subunit ribosomal RNA
Source: RNAcentral
UGGGGAAUAUUGCACAAUGGGCGAAAGCCUGAUGCAGCGACGCCGCGUGAGGGAUGACGGCCUUCGGGUUGUAAACCUCUUUCGCUCAUGGUCAAGCCGCAGCUUUGGGUUGUGGUGAGGGUAGUGGGUAAAGGAGCGCCGGCUAACUACGUGCCAGCAGCCGCGGUAAUACGUAGGGCGCGAGCGUUGUCCGGAAUUAUUGGGCGUAAAGGGCUUGUAGGCGGUUGGUCGCGUCUGCCGUGAAAUCCUCUGGCUUAACUGGGGGCGUGCGGUGGGUACGGGCUGACUUGAGUGCGGUAGGGGAGACUGGAACUCCUGGUGUAGCGGUGGAAUGCGCAGAUAUCAGGAAGAACACCGGUGGCGAAGGCGGGUCUCUGGGCCGUUACUGACGCUGAGGAGCGAAAGCGUGGGGAGCGAACAGGAUUAGAUACCCUGGUAGUCCACGCUGUAAACGUUGGGCACUAGGUGUGGGGGCCACCCGUGGUUUCUGCGCCGUAGCUAACGCUUUAAGUGCCCCGCCUGGGGAGUACGGCCGCAAGGCUA